Molecule: ribosomal RNA, 253 nt
Filed under: uncultured bacterium
Lineage: Bacteria
Description: partial 16S ribosomal RNA
Rfam family: Bacterial small subunit ribosomal RNA
Source: RNAcentral
UACGUAGGUGGCAAGCGUUGUCCGGAUUUACUGGGCGUAAAGAGCGCGCAGGCGGUCGUCCAAGUCGCGUGUGAAAGCCCCCGGCUCAACUGGGGAGGGUCACGCGAUACUGGUCGACUCGAAGGCAGGAGAGGGUAGUGGAAUUCCCGGUGUAGCGGUGAAAUGCGCAGAUAUCGGGAGGAACACCAAUGGCGAAGGCAGCUCGCUGGGACGUUACUGACGCUGAGACGCGAAAGCGUGGGGAGCAAACAGG